Molecule: transfer RNA, 89 nt
Filed under: Pseudonocardiaceae bacterium
Lineage: Bacteria; Bacillati; Actinomycetota; Actinomycetes; Pseudonocardiales; Pseudonocardiaceae
Description: tRNA-Ser
Rfam family: tRNA
About the family: Transfer RNA (tRNA) molecules are approximately 80 nucleotides in length. Their secondary structure includes four short double-helical elements and three loops (D, anti-codon, and T loops). Further hydrogen bonds mediate the characteristic L-shaped molecular structure. tRNAs have two regions of fundamental functional importance: the anti-codon, which is responsible for specific mRNA codon recognition, and the 3' end, to which the tRNAs corresponding amino acid is attached (by aminoacyl-tRNA synthetases). tRNAs cope with the degeneracy of the genetic code in two manners: having more than one tRNA (with a specific anti-codon) for a particular amino acid; and 'wobble' base-pairing, i.e. permitting non-standard base-pairing at the 3rd anti-codon position.
Source: RNAcentral
GGAGGGCUCGCAUAGUGGCCGAGUGCGACGGUCUUGAAAACCGUUGUCUGGAGGGAUCCAGACCGUGGGUUCGAAUCCCACGCCCUCCG